RNAcentral lists this long non-coding RNA (339 nucleotides) under Hordeum vulgare. RNAcentral's name for it is "long non-coding RNA (HVUL_LNC001755)". Lineage: Eukaryota; Viridiplantae; Streptophyta; Magnoliopsida; Poales; Poaceae. The record is from RNAcentral.
ACACUGAAGCCCGAACUUCCCGUGGUCUUUGAAGUGAAAUUAGUCUCCUUAUAAAGCUCCAUGUUUUGGCAUUUUCCUUCGGCACAAUAAUAUUGUAAAACUCUCUUGCUGGGUGUUAUUCACCCCCUUUGAGCACUAUGGCACCAACCUGUUCCACAGCAAAGUGAUUGCUAUUUCUGGUCGCUCUGGAACCUGUUCAAUACUAUCCAAAUUAUGAAUUGGACUUCUUUCUAAUGUCUUAUAUGUAAUUGCCAUGUUGUUGCUCAUCUCUUUUGGACAAGCUAAUGAAGAUUUGGGUGGUAUAUAUUUUUUCUUGCAUUCAUCUGAAGGAGAUUGUGC